UAGAGUUUGAUCCUGGCUCAGGAUGAACGCUAGCGACAGGCUUAACACAUGCAAGUCGAGGGGCAGCGGUGGUGAAGGCUUGCCUUUACCAGCCGGCGACCGGCGCACGGGUGAGUAACACGUAUGCAACCUGCCUGCCACAGCCGGAUAAUCGGGAGAAAUUCCGUCUAAUACGGCAUAAUGCAUCGACGGGACAUCCUGUUGGUGCCAAAGGUUGAUUCCGGUGGCGGAUGGGCAUGCGUCGCAUUAGUUAGUUGGCGGUGUAACGGACCACCAAGACGACGAUGCGUAGGGGUUCUGAGAGGAAGGUCCCCCACACUGGUACUGAGACACGGACCAGACUCCUACGGGAGGCAGCAGUGAGGAAUAUUGGUCAAUGGGCGGGAGCCUGAACCAGCCAAGUCGCGUGAGGGAUGACGGCCCUAUGGGUUGUAAACCUCUUUUGCCGGGGAGCAAAGUGCCGCACGUGUGCGGUUUGGAGAGUACCCGGAGAAAAAGCAUCGGCUAACUCCGUGCCAGCAGCCGCGGUAAUACGGAGGAUGCGAGCGUUAUCCGGAUUUAUUGGGUUUAAAGGGUGCGUAGGCGGACGCUUAAGUCAGCGGUAAAAUUGCGGGGCUCAACCUCGUCGAGCCGUUGAAACUGGGUGCCUUGAGUGGGCGAGAAGUACGCGGAAUGCGUGGUGUAGCGGUGAAAUGCAUAGAUAUCACGCAGAACUCCGAUUGCGAAGGCAGCGUACCGGCGCCCAACUGACGCUGAAGCACGAAGGCGUGGGUAUCGAACAGGAUUAGAUACCCUGGUAGUCCACGCAGUAAACGAUGAAUGCUAGUUGUCCGGGGCGAUUGAGUUCUGGGUGACACAGCGAAAGCGUUAAGCAUUCCACCUGGGGAGUACGCCGGCAACGGUGAAACUCAAAGGAAUUGACGGGGGCCCGCACAAGCGGAGGAACAUGUGGUUUAAUUCGAUGAUACGCGAGGAACCUUACCCGGGCUCAAACGCAGGAGGGAUGUUUUUGAAAGGAGGCAGCCAGCAAUGGUCUCCUGCGAGGUGCUGCAUGGUUGUCGUCAGCUCGUGCCGUGAGGUGUCGGCUUAAGUGCCAUAACGAGCGCAACCCCUACCUACAGUUGCCAUCGCGUGAUGGCGGGCACUCUGUGGGGACUGCCUGCGCAAGCAGUGAGGAAGGCGGGGAUGACGUCAAAUCAGCACGGCCCUUACGUCCGGGGCGACACACGUGUUACAAUGGCAGGUACAGCGGGAAGCCACCCGGCGACGGGGCGCGGAACCCGAAAACCUGUCUCAGUUCGGAUUGGAGUCUGCAACCCGACUCCAUGAAGCUGGAUUCGCUAGUAAUCGCGCAUCAGCCACGGCGCGGUGAAUACGUUCCCGGGCCUUGCACACACCGCCCGUCAAG
This 1408-nucleotide ribosomal RNA is filed under the name uncultured bacterium. RNAcentral describes it as "bacterial SSU rRNA". It matches the Rfam family "Bacterial small subunit ribosomal RNA". The record is from RNAcentral.